This 500-nucleotide ribosomal RNA is filed under the name uncultured bacterium. Its description in RNAcentral is "partial 16S ribosomal RNA". It matches the Rfam family "Bacterial small subunit ribosomal RNA", at positions 30 to 523 of the family's 1533-position model. The record is from RNAcentral.
AUUGAACGCUGGCGGAAUGCUUUACACAUGCAAGUCGAACGAUGAAGCCUAGCUUGCUAGGUCGAUUAGUGGCGAACGGGUGAGUAAUAUAUCGGAACGUAUCCAAUAAUGGGGGAUAACUAGUCGAAAGAUUGGCUAAUACCGCAUACGUCCUACGGGAGAAAGCUGGGGAUCGUAAGACCUGGCGUUAAUGGAGCGGCCGAUAUCUGAUUAACUAGUUGGCGAGGUAAAGGCUCACCAAGGCGACGAUCAGUAGCUGGUCUGAGAGGACGACCAGCCACACUGGAACUGAGACGCGGUCCAGACUCCUACGGGAGGCAGCGGUGGGGAGUUUUGGACAAUGGGCGAAAGCCUGAUCCAGCCAUUCCGCGUGAGUGAAGAAGGCCUUCGGGUUGUAAAGCUCUUUCGCAAGGGAAGAACACUUACUUAAUAACACUAAGUGAGGUUGACGGUACCUUGAUAAGAAGCACCGGCUAACUACGUGCCAGCCGCCGCCGUAA